UCCUGACUGACCGAUAGUGAACCAGUACCGUGAGGGAAAGGCGAAAAGAACCCCGGCGAGGGGAGUGAAAAAGAACCUGAAACCGUGUACGUACAAGCAGUGGGAGCACGCUUAGGCGUGUGACUGCGUACCUUUUGUAUAAUGGGUCAGCGACUUAUAUUCUGUAGCAAGGUUAACCGAAUAGGGGAGCCGAAGGGAAACCGAGUCUUAACUGGGCGUUAAGUUGCAGGGUAUAGACCCGAAACCCGGUGAUCUAGCCAUGGGCAGGUUGAAGGUUGGGUAACACUAACUGGAGGACCGAACCGACUAAUGUUGAAAAAUUAGCGGAUGACUUGUGGCUGGGGGUGAAAGGCCAAUCAAACCGGGAGAUAGCUGGUUCUCCCCGAAAGCUAUUUAGGUAGCGCCUCGUGAAUUCAUCUCCGGGGGUAGAGCACUGUUUCGGCAAGGGGGUCAUCCCGACUUACCAACCCGAUGCAAACUGCGAAUACCGGAGAAUGUUAUCACGGGAGACACACGGCGGGUGCUAACGUCCGUCGUGAAGAGGGAAACAACCCAGACCGCCAGCUAAGGUCCCAAAGUCAUGGUUAAGUGGGAAACGAUGUGGGAAGGCCCAGACAGCCAGGAUGUUGGCUUAGAAGCAGCCAUCAUUUAAAGAAAGCGUAAUAGCUCACUGGUCGAGUCGGCCUGCGCGGAAGAUGUAACGGGGCUAAACCAUGCAC
Molecule: ribosomal RNA, 719 nt
Filed under: Escherichia coli
Lineage: Bacteria; Pseudomonadati; Pseudomonadota; Gammaproteobacteria; Enterobacterales; Enterobacteriaceae
Also listed under: 1 other name
Description: partial 23S ribosomal RNA
Rfam family: Bacterial large subunit ribosomal RNA
Source: RNAcentral